RNAcentral lists this unclassified non-coding RNA (305 nucleotides) under Hevea brasiliensis (rubber tree). The record is from RNAcentral. Lineage: Eukaryota; Viridiplantae; Streptophyta; Magnoliopsida; Malpighiales; Euphorbiaceae.
AGGGAAAAAAAAAAAGAAGAGAGCUAGGUGGUCUGCCUAGAUGAAAAUAUUUUGGACACUCUGUUGUAUUUAUAUGAUGAAUGAAAAUUUGAUGCCCAUAGUAGUUAAGUCCUAGCAAGCCAAGUAGUGGUGGCCACCUCACACCCUCCAACCAGGGUGCUGGCCAAUGGAGAGAGUAUGGGUAAUCAACAUUACCUUGUGUCACACAGUUCCUCUUAUGGUUUUUCCACCUACAAGUAAUUUGUUUUCUUCAUUGAUAGGUUGCUUUAAACAUUGUUUCAGGUUGGUUACCUUCUUGGCUUAGG